This is a non-coding RNA of Pelobates cultripes (western spadefoot toad), 217 nucleotides long. NCBI's taxonomy places the organism in Eukaryota, Metazoa, Chordata, Amphibia, Anura, Pelobatidae. The record is from the annotation of a GenBank genome assembly.
AUGUCCAGGUGUUUGUCCUGGCAUGAUUUUAAUGCUGAGUCCAAACCCUUACGGGGAUUCCAACCCAUCUUAGAAAGAAACUGCGUCAUCUUAGGGUCUACAGUAGGAGUCUCACAGACCUUGUUGGGGAUCAGGGGUCUAGGACAUUCUGCCCUGAGCUUGUUGCGCGCCAUCUUGCUAAGGGGGCGCCGUACCCAGUUCUCUAGGUAUUUUGCUA